This is a long non-coding RNA of Equus asinus (donkey), 1607 nucleotides long. The record is from Ensembl. Lineage: Eukaryota; Metazoa; Chordata; Mammalia; Perissodactyla; Equidae.
UGGAAAAGGAUCCUCCAGUCCAUGUCAAGUUUUCAGAGGAGUGCAGCCUCAGCAGACAUAAUUAUAACCUCUUGAAAGACCCUGAGCCUCUAAGCUGCUUCUAGUUUCCCGACCGUCAGAACCUCUUUGAAGUAAUAAAGUCUCCUUUGCUGGUUCUUCCGGGAUGGGAUUACUGCCCUUCUAAGAAAAGGGAGAGACCAGAGCUCCUUCACUCUCAGCCCUAUGAGGACACAGUGAGAAGGUGGCUGUCUGCACGCCAGGAAGCAGACCCACACCAAGAAUCGAAUCUGCCGGCACCCUGGUCUUGUACUUCUCAACCUCCAGAACUACAUCUUCUCAUUGAUUCCAUCCAGAACUUUCCAAACUGGGGCCAGGUGUGUGAGAAGACUUGUGAACGCCCUUUCUCAAUCAGAGCAAACCCAGACCUAAGCUGGUCCGUGGGAGGACGAGAGACCGAACGGAGCAGAGCCGAGUCGCCCCAGCUGUGAGCAUCUGAGACCACCUAGGCCCAGCUGACUUUCCGGCUGACCACAGGCACAGAAUGAGAGAAGAAAGAGGGCAACUGCAAAGAGCAGAUGUCAAGAGGCUGUGGAAUCAACGUGUCUUGAGAAAGCGGAGAUGGAGACUUCGACCACUUCUUUUCAAUUAGUUCGCUUCACCAUCUGGAUCACCAUUGGAGCGCUGAGAAGCCAGAAGGAGAGGUGGCCUCCAGAUGUCUCUAGGGAGCCAACCAGGUUUCUGACAUUUAAGCUCUGCCCCCGUAGAUUUCUUGCAGCACAAGGACUUUGGAAUAAAUAACGGUGGUUUCAAAAUUUGGGACCCUCUUCUCCUGCAUGUCAGCCUGGAUAUACUGGAGGAAAACACCAGCAUAAUGCCUGUUCCUAGGAAUUUAUGUUUCCAAUCACCUGAUCACCUAGCUUUAAAGCUGGUCUAGAAAAGAAAAAGAAAGGAUGACUGAAUCCAGUAAAUGAAGAAAAGUGACCAAUGUUGUGAGGCUUCUGCAAUCGCAAAAUGACAACCCUUUAGCCUUUUCACUAGUGUCAUGUGAUGGUAGGUGAUCUAGACACCCAUCGAAGGAAAACCGUAAGUGAUUUAAUUUGUGAAUGCAAACUUUUCAAUUCCCUAAAUCUGCGUAAUCUCCAAGAAAUGGGUGGUAAGCAGGAAUAAGGGCUAGUGGUGAAAUACUAAAUAUAGAAGGGGUAACUGUCUCUGUCGCGUGCACUUCCCUUCUGGGUGGGAAUUCCAGUAAACUAGGCAGGGAGGAUUGCAUAGAGAGAAAAAGAGCAACAAGUGUGAAAAUCUGUGGGGUAGGCUUCAGGAACUACCAGUAAAUGAUUAUUCUACUGGUGAGGAUUCCCCUACUAAAAUCAAUCUCUCUAGAAGUUUCAGUCCCUUUGUGAAAUAAUACAGUGAGGAGGAAUACUAACUAAAGUCCCUCCACACUUGAGCAGACACUGUUUCUGAGGUUGCCACACACAGUUGUAGGGAAAAUGAGUUACUGUACAAAAAUGUUACUUUGAUAAGUAUCAUAUUUGGAACUCUGUGUCCCUUUAGGAAACUGGCUUGGCCAAUGGUCAUUCUUCACAGUACUUCGAUUUAUCUUCCAG